RNAcentral lists this transfer RNA (63 nucleotides) under Mochlus sundevallii (Peters' eyelid skink). RNAcentral's name for it is "Mochlus sundevalli tRNA-Cys". The record is from RNAcentral. Lineage: Eukaryota; Metazoa; Chordata; Lepidosauria; Squamata; Scincidae.
AAGCCGUGGCCCACCUUCGUGUGCUUCUCAAGAUCUGCAUUCUAGCGUGAGCCACCCCAAGGC